This is a ribosomal RNA of Danio rerio (zebrafish), 117 nucleotides long. Lineage: Eukaryota; Metazoa; Chordata; Actinopteri; Cypriniformes; Danionidae. The record is from Ensembl.
GGCCACAGCUAUAUUACUCUGCAGCCCAAGACUGGUUACUCACUGAAGUUAAGCAAGGCUGAGCCUGGUCACUACCUUGAUGGAAGACCUCAUGGGAAAACUAGAUUGCUGUUGGAA